AUUGAACGCUGGCGGCAUGCCUUACACAUACAAGUCGAACGGUAACAGGUCUUCGGAUGCUGACGAGAGGCGAACGGGUGAGUAAUACAUCGGAACGUGCCUAGUAGUGGGGGAUAACUACUCGAAAGAGUGGCUAAUACCGCAUGAGAUCUACGGAUGAAAGCAGGGGAUUGCAAGACCUUGUGCUACUAGAGCGGCCGAUGGCAGAUUAGGUAGUUGGGGGGAUAAAAGCUUACCAAGCCGACGAUCUGUAGCUGGUCUGAGAGGACGAUCAGCCACACUGGAACUAAGAGACGGCCCAGACUCCUACGGGAGGAAGCAGUGGGGAAUGUGGGACAAUGGGCGAAAGCCUGAUCCAGAAAUGCCGCGUGCAGGAUGAAGGCCUUCGGGUUGUAAACUGCUUUUGUACGGAACGAAAAGCCCCGGGUUAAUACCCUGGGGUCAUGACGGUACCGUAAGAAUAGGCACCGGCUAACUACGUGCCAGCCGCCGCCGUAA
RNAcentral lists this ribosomal RNA (498 nucleotides) under uncultured bacterium. RNAcentral's name for it is "partial 16S ribosomal RNA". It matches the Rfam family "Bacterial small subunit ribosomal RNA", at positions 30 to 523 of the family's 1533-position model. The record is from RNAcentral.